UAGGGAAUCUUCCGCAAUGGACGAAAGUCUGACGGAGCAACGCCGCGUGAGUGAAGAAGGAUUUCGGUUCGUAAAACUCUGUUGUUAGGGAAGAAAAAAUGUAUAGUAACUAUAUACAAAAGAGACGGUACCUAACCAGAAAGCCACGGCUAACUACGUGCCAGCAGCCGCGGUAAUACGUAGGUGGCAAGCGUUGUCCGGAAUUAUUGGGCGUAAAGCGCGCGCAGGUGGUUUAGAAAGUCUGAUGUGAAAGCCCACGGCUCAACCGUGGAGGGUCAUUGGAAGCUAAUAAACUUGAGUGCAGGAGAGAAAAGUGGAAUUCCUAGUGUAGCGGUGAAAUGCGUAGAGAUUAGGAGGAACACCGGUGGCGAAAGCGGCUUUUUGGCCUGCAACUGACACUGAGGCGCGAAAGCGUGGGGAGCAAACAGG
Molecule: ribosomal RNA, 429 nt
Filed under: Verrucomicrobiota bacterium
Lineage: Bacteria; Pseudomonadati; Verrucomicrobiota
Description: Verrucomicrobia bacterium partial 16S ribosomal RNA
Rfam family: Bacterial small subunit ribosomal RNA
Source: RNAcentral